Molecule: long non-coding RNA, 3737 nt
Organism: Bombus terrestris (buff-tailed bumblebee)
Lineage: Eukaryota; Metazoa; Arthropoda; Insecta; Hymenoptera; Apidae
Exons: 2
Source: RefSeq, a predicted model, not a curated record
CACGGAAACGACCUCCGAGUAACCGAGUCGUUCGUGCAUACCAUUACCGGACAGCUUGAUCGCGAGUGACGACCUGAAAAAGCCACGUUUAAACUGUAUGAGAAAGUGUCAGGGCUCGUUGAUGGAACGAGCCGCGAAGAGGAUUUCAAGCUUGCUAAGGAGGGCACAGUCUCGAGAGGCCAAUGGUCGCUCGCAUUCUCACGACCCAACGAAAUCGACUUUUGCGCUUCGAUCGCUACGCUAGAAACGUCGAACAACACGUAACGUUUCUUUAAAAUUUAUUCCUUUUAAAUUACAUACUGUCGGUUGUGUACGUUAAAACAUCGUCAUCUGUAUAGAGAGAGAUAAAUUAGCCGAGUAACGUGGGUCGAUCUGGUAAAAUGGUUCGUUGGCAAUAAUGCAGAAUGUCUUGAGAUCGAUGAGAGUACUAGUCCGUGACAGAUGUUAUUUUAGAUUUAAAACUUCGUCUUGAUUACGCGCUUAUGUCGAUAAUUUGGAUCAUUUAUUCAUGGAUUAAUGGAAAGUUCUUGCGGUAAUACUCGUUGUUGCACGAUAAAGUUUAUCGCUUUAUAAUUUGACUUAAAACCACUGUGAUUUCUAGCUCGCCAUAUUACAACCUAACGUCUAAAAGAAUAACAAUAUACGGCGGCUAGCGGACUACAAAUUCACCGGAAACUGUAUUAAGGUCGAGCGAGAUAAAGCAAUUUCUAUUCCGUGUAAAUCGAAUGAACGAAGUUUUGAUAAACGCGACGAAAACAGAGGAAGCUCUCUGCCUUAUCUUCCCCCGCUACUCGGUAAACUUUUAAAGACUCCUUAGUCCAGUAUCUCGCGCUAUUAACCAAGAACCGAAAAACUACUUGGGUGGCGAUCACCGUACAUGCAUCACAAAUCACCGUCGUAUAGCCUUUCCACGCGUUCUGUGUCCGUCCGUUAGUUCGUCCGUUCGUUCGUUCGUUUCACCAUCGACAUCCUAUGGCUACCGUUCACGAAACGUUCAACGCCCCGAAUUCCAAUUCUCGCAUACCAGCCUCGUUUUCAACAAACGCGCGGUGGCUUCCCCGAUAUCUCUUCACGCACCUGGACCGCAAAGGGAUCGAACCUGUGAUUGUUUCCGUUCCGUGACACGAAACGAUACUUAACCGCGUCUCUCUGUGAACCAACCAUUCCAACGCGAGGUUAACGCUUUGCGCAACUUUCCUUGGAUUUCACGGCACGUCAAGGGGAAUGAUUAAUAGGAAGGCAAACCGUAGUUUCUUCGUUUGAGGAUAGCAAAGUGUUGUAGGACUAAUUGUAAAUUUUGAAUAGGUGUUUGGUGUGGUAGUAGUUAAUUGAGGUAUUUGAAGGAAGUAUAAUGGUAAUGGUAAUCGAUACAUCAUUUCUUUUUGCUUUUCGAACGUUUUCUCACCGGUACGGGCAAGGUUUCUUGCCACGUGUACAUACCUUGCCUUUUGUAUUCCAUCAUUAGAUAUAUUUGAUAAGACAUUUCACGUUUCACAUCGAUCAAUAGCAACUGGAAUUCAACGAUGAAUGCGAACAAUUAGAAAUAACUGAAAAAUAUUGCACACGAAAAUAUCCAACUAUAUAACAGGUCUAUCGAAGAAAAAAAGAAAAUCUAAAAAGUACUUCUCUAUAUAAUACCACUCUUACUAUAUCGUAUCAAUGAAACGAACUUCCCGACGGAACCUAUCAAGCUAUCAAACCUAUCAAACAAUCAGACGAUAUCAAAAGACCCGUAUACGAAUAGCAUCACCGGCGAAAGACGUGUUACACCGAAUCAGAACACGGAUCUACCUCCUAGGACAUAAGCAUGUAACGAGGAUGAUACAGCAGAUAUAUAGCCUGGCAAACUGUCCACGUAGUCAUUUAUAUUGGAAGGUCGUGGCUCGAGAGAGGGGUCAAAUUUCCCGGUGGAAAUAAUUCAAGGAAAAUAGCCGACACACCGGAUGAAUCAGGAGAACUGUAUGGUCUAUAUGCAGAUUAUAUCGUCCCGGGUGGUUGUCGCUGGUGUUACCGGUAACGGACUCGGUAUACUUAACCCGAACCUCUUGUAUAUUACGUACAUUGUACCGGAUCGUUCGGUGUCGAGGUGAAAAUAAAAGGAGAGCUGAAUGUGGUGUUGUGGACGAAGAGAAAAGAAAAAGAAGGAAAGAUGGGCGACGCGUACCGGAUCUUGGCGUCUCGAUGUUAGGUGCACGUAGAAAACGUGAAAGGGGAUGCUGAGAGAACGCUUUGAGCCUGUGGUUAAUGAUACGCGAUGAUACGCGGCAUUCGUCACUGUCCGAUGUCCGGCUUGAUUGCCGCUACUGUUCUCUAUCCUUUAUCUUUCGCGGCCUCGUAACCGGCGGCGUGUGUACGCCGUUGCUACGGUUAAAUACGUCCACGUGUGCAUAAAACGCGUGUGGAUCCGAGCGAGCGUAAUGCGCCAACCGAGAGUCCGCUCUGGAAUUCGAGGCUUCGAGUAGCCGGCUUCUCGUGAUCAACGCUCGCGUUUCGUGAGAUGAAAGAAAUGGAUGCUUCGAUGCGAAGAAUCGCUGAAUAUGAUUUUUCACUUGAAACUUUCAUUUAUAGAGAGAAUAAUAGACACGUAAAAGGUGUUGAAAGUGAGGAUAUUUUUCAUUUCUUUUUUGGGUUGUAACAUGUACAUGUAUUUGAGAUACGAAACGAUUAAAAAUCAAAGAUAAUGGACUAGUAAAUCGUCCAAAUUCUUUUUGCGAUGGAAACAUUCGAGUUUCAUAUAUUUCAAUAAAAUUCACUCCCUUCGAAUGUCAGAUAUUUCAAGUUUCAAUUUGAUACGUCUGGACUUUGCGUGAUUUCAAAUUCAAAGUACCGGGAGGGGGGGGGAUUUCGCGCCAACUCGAUUAUUCUCUCUCUCCCUCCCAAACAAAUACAACUUUCAUUUCGAAACUUACACCUCGAAAAAAAUCCAUCAGCUUUACAUUCGAUCCUCUCGUAUGACCUACUUCUGCUCGGCGAAUAUUCAGACGGAAGGUCAGUUCCCGCGUUUACACAAAACUCGGGCAACUGGCGCAUUUAUACGCGCUGGAUCGGCCGUGAUCGUCGCCGAAUCCGCGGCCAGAGGGAGACAGCAGACAAAAAGUACGUUUGGCACACUCCACCAUUAGCGGUCGCGGCGAAGAGGCCCGGAACGAUCGGCCGUAACUCAUCCGAUGAGCACGAGGAUCAGACCAGCUCUGCUCUCCGUUACUCACUGACAGCCAGUCGUGGAAAAAGUUAACUUAUUCUAAGCGUGAAACCAGACCCGGACUCCGAAAAGAAGCUGCACAUCGUAAUCAGUCCCCUCGCGUGCCAUCGUCUGUGCUCGACUUUCGCAGGAACCAGAGCGUCUUCCGUUCCUUUAUUACCGGCAAAGCUGAAUCCUGAUUCGUCUCGCCUGACGAGCUGAAAUCUCCUGGCUAGGUUUUGUAACGGGCGAGGCGGACAUUGUAGACGGUCAGUGAGGGCAAUCUUUCGAUGGGAGAUGGUGAGAAGUUUUUUGCCCAUUGAUGUGAUUGUUCAGGAAUUUAUGAGGUAAUGACAGGCGCUAAAAUUAUACUUCGUGGGGGAGAAAAUGGUUGGAACUCUUACUGCUGGGAAGUAUUUGGAUACUUGUUUGGCGUUGAUGGAACGUAAUUCAACUACGAGGUGGUAGUCAUUCUUUACGAUCAUCGCAUAAACAGGAUGAAAUUUUUUUGUAGAAAACAGCAUGCAAUAAUAAAAUUCUUUAUUGUCAAACUUCA